Molecule: ribosomal RNA, 253 nt
Filed under: uncultured bacterium
Lineage: Bacteria
Description: partial 16S ribosomal RNA
Rfam family: Bacterial small subunit ribosomal RNA
Source: RNAcentral
UACGUAGGGGGCAAGCGUUAUCCGGAUUUACUGGGUGUAAAGGGAGCGUAGACGGCGAUGCAAGUCUGAAGUGAAAGCCCGGGGCCCAACCCCGGGACUGCUUUGGAAACUGUAUGGCUGGAGUGCUGGAGAGGCAAGCGGAAUUCCUAGUGUAGCGGUGAAAUGCGUAGAUAUUAGGAAGAACACCAGUGGCGAAGGCGGCUUGCUGGACAGUAACUGACGUUGAGGCUCGAAAGCGUGGGGAGCAAACAGG